GAUGAACGCUGGCGGCGUGCCUAAUACAUGCAAGUCGAGCGAACGGACGAGAAGCUUGCUUCUCUGAUGUUAGCGGCGGACGGGUGAGUAACACGUGGAUAACCUACCUAUAAGACUGGGAUAACUUCGGGAAACCGGAGCUAAUACCGGAUGAUAUUUUGAACCGCAUGGUUCAAAAGUGAAAGACGGUCUUGCUGUCACUUAUAGAUGGAUCCGCGCUGCAUUAGCUAGUUGGUAAGGUAACGGCUUACCAAGGCAACGAUGCAUAGCCGACCUGAGAGGGUGAUCAGCCACACUGGAACUGAGACACGGUCCAGACUCCCACGGGAGGCAGCAGUAGGGAAUCUUCCGCAAUGGGCGAAAGCCUGACGGAGCAACGCCGCGUGAGUGAUGAAGGUCUUCGGAUCGUAAAACUCUGUUAUUAGGGAAGAACAUAUGUGUAAGUAACUGUGCACAUCUUGACGGUACCUAAUCAGAAAGCCACGGCUAACUACGUG
This 497-nucleotide ribosomal RNA is filed under the name uncultured bacterium. Its description in RNAcentral is "partial 16S ribosomal RNA". It matches the Rfam family "Bacterial small subunit ribosomal RNA", at positions 28 to 507 of the family's 1533-position model. The record is from RNAcentral.